RNAcentral lists this long non-coding RNA (20615 nucleotides) under Nicotiana tabacum (common tobacco). RNAcentral describes it as "long non-coding RNA (NTAB_LNC007235)". Lineage: Eukaryota; Viridiplantae; Streptophyta; Magnoliopsida; Solanales; Solanaceae. The record is from RNAcentral.
UAUAUGUAGAUAUUUACGUCCAAAGUUUGGUCUUAUGCGUACUCAUUUGGAACUUUAGUCUAUGAUGUAAUUUUCCAACUUCAAAAUUUUCCGGGGUGCUACACAAUCCAAAAAUCAUUCAAUUUGUCCCCAUCCGCGAAUCUAACCGAUUCUUUUCUUUUUUCAUCACUAAAAUCCAAAAACCCCAAAUCGAACCCUAGACCUAAAGUAUGAAACAGAAAAAUCUUAUGUUCUUCCUUCACCUCUCAAAUCGGAGCAUACAUGCCAAAUUCCAUCAUCGUUAUUCGUGUCCAGAGGUCAGACGUAGUGACCUUUGGACAUUAGAGCUUUGUCUGAUGAGGUUUCUCAUUCAACGAUCGAUUAUUGUGCCCAGGUAAUGUUCUUCACUAUCUCCCCUCUAACCCUGGAAAAAUUUAACCGUGUUUCUAUCAUCAUUCACUACUUGUUAUUUUCCGCUAUCUAAUUUUUGGUUGAUCGGAACCCUAAGUGGCUCGAAUGCCGCUAUAAAAGGAGCAUUCAAUACUACCACGCAUCUAAUACUAUCAGAGACACAAAAGAAAGAGAGAAAAGAGUUAAAAUUUAAGGUUUUCUCACUAAGUCGAGGGAUACUUUCUAAUUGCUUAGUGUUUCUUUCUCUUUCAUUCUCCGGUUUAAAUUCAACUGCUGUAUUGGUCUUGAGUUUGGAUUCCUAAAUGGUUGUUGAACUACUUCUACUUGGUUUCCUGCCCUAUAGAAGGUCAGUAAUAUUGACCCACUCUUUACUUUGAAUUGAUGGUGUAGUUUUGUGAUCUUAAUGAUUACUUAGCUGAUUCUUUAUUGUUUAUGUUAGAUAUUAGUAAUUAAAGGUCAUAUUUGUUAUGUCCUAUAUUAAUAUGCUAUUUUCACUGUUAAACUAGGAAUUUUUUGAUUAAGUUAUGUUGUAUUAAAACUAUCAUUAAAUCUGUGGUAUUGACUCCUAUUCUUCAUGAUUCAAUGACUUUAUAUUAAGUGAUAUCCUUAUGAUUAACCUUGCUAAGCUUUUUUGAUUAAACAAAGUUAACUUUUGUACGGAUUUUGUGCAUAACUCACUCCUGCUAGUUAAACAACAAUCUUAUGAGCACCAUGUCAACUAAGUUAACUGAACCAUAUCCUUGAACUCUCAUUAGUGUUUGUUAAGAUUUCAGACCUCUAGGAUAGCUUGAUCCUCUUGCUUGUGCCACUGUGUUGAUCUUAUGAAUGGAUUUUCCAGCAGCUCAUGUUAUGUUUGGCCUGUCUACUUUAAUAACUUUAGUUAAUAGAUCUGUUGCUGAUAUCCUGCUUGUUCUACACACUCAGUAAUCCAUGUAGCUAUAAUACUGUUACCCUUAGACUCUAUUGAGCCUCAUGAUUGAUUGAUCUAGAUAUUAUGCUGAUAAUGUUGUAUAUAAUCUUGUUUGUUAACCAAGCGGUUGGAAUAAAAUCAGGCUUCUAAACGUCUUUUGAAAAUAUUGCCAAUACCUGCCACAGUGUGCCUGUGAUGUUCUGCUCUUUUGAUCCAGUUCCUUCCCUCGUGAUAGCUUGUUUGACUCUAAUUAGUAUUCCGCUCAUAUUAUUGUAAUAGAACAAUCUCUAUACGUUCUCUGUAAUGACUGAAAAUCAUGUAAUAAACCUUGUUAAUGUGUUAGAGAACCUGCACUCAGGUCUAAAUAUAAUUUGAUUAAGAUAGAUCUCUAUGGUGAGUGUUGACAUUUGUCAUAUCAUGCUUGUUUGAGUCCCAAGAUGAAAACCACAUGAAACUCCCUGUUGUCAUGAUAAUCAUAUGACUCUUCUUAAUUUUUAUAUCUAAGUUCAUGGUUGUUAUGACCGUACGACUGUGUCCAUAGAGUAUAUUAUAACAUUAGCUUGAUGAAGUUUACCCAUGCAUUUAUGUGUUAACAUGUCAUAGCCUUGAUCUUCCUAUGAUGCUGAAUUGGUUUGAGUUCAGUGAGUGAUCCUCUAUAAGAUACUGUCCCUAAUGAUCUAUCCUUGUUAAAUUAUUUCAGCUGUUAAGCUGAGUCAUGAUAUUGUAAUGACCUAUAUACAAAUUCAUGCACUAAGUUUUGCUAGUGAACCUGUUUUCAUAUCCAGAUUUUUAGUGUUGUGACUUGUUCGCCUAACUAUUAAAAUGAUGAGACCUUAAUGAGAUGUAUGCCUGAUGAAUCUUUCAAAAGUAUCUGUGAAUUAUCCUUUAUGAUCUCAACUUACUUAGAAGAAUUCUGAAAUACUAAACUCUUAGUUGAGCACAUAAAAUAUAUACAUGUGCUCGUCUCUGUAUGAUACUUGUAUGUUAACACUUCUGAGCCUAAAGAGAUAAGUAAAGAGGCAUAUCUAUGCGCACUUGACUACCCGUGCCCUAUAACCAUGCUUCAUUAUACCCCCACAGUGACUUCAUGCCUGCUGUAGUGCCCUGUCCUAACACCCUAUGCUUGAUAUAAAUUUCCCUAAUCCUGCUGUGGUGCCCUGGGUUGUUCUUUUGGCUCUGAUGAUGAACUAUAGCAUCCUAUUUGUUCACAAUUGUUGAUUUUUUUGCGUGUUCGAACCUUCAAGGGGUUUACCAUGACUUUUUCAUAUACUGUUUGUAUCUUGGUAAUAUGAAAUUACUUUGUUGAUUCUUUUAUUUGUAUUUAAGCCUUUGAGGAAGAUUAAAAGUGGGUGAUUAAUGGUAUUUGGGUAUGAAACUUGAUUUGUGGAUAAGACACCCUCCCUGACACAAGCACUGCUCGGGGUCCAUGAGACCCUCGUGAACUCUGAAGUGCCAGGGGUCUACAAGGGAUAUUUUAUCCAUAAAUAAGUAUUUACUCUAAGCCUUUAAUUACUAACUCCUAUUAAUCCUCAUAGGAUUAGCAUAAAUAAAAUUUCUCUCGCCACAUUCUCUAGCUCUUUAUUAUUAUUUUUUCAUGAUCAUUAUCUUAUUUUAUUUUUAUAUUUGAUAUACACUAAUUAUCUUUUUUUUGUAUGCAUGUUUUGAAAUUGGGUUCCACUGGGAACUCGUGCCCAAAUUCAAAUGCAGCAUGCUCCCUUGUCUGCAUGAUGGAGUAUGCCACUUGAUCCUAAUCUCGCUGGUCCUAGUUAAGCUUACAAGCUAAUUGUCAAGAGUCUAGCCUCUCUCCUUAUUUAUUUUAAAUCCUAUUCACUGUUGUUUGUUAUUUCGUAUAUAUGUAUCUCUGAAUUACUAAGUUAUUUUUGGAUUUGAAACUUUGAUCUUUUUAGGAAAGUAGGCAAACAAAGGAGCAUAGGUAAAAGAAUCAAAUCAGAAAUUCUGCACUUACCCUUUAAUUUUUGGUCACUUAUCAAUGUCAAACUUAUUUUCUUAACAAAAUCAAAGACCCAAUCUUGGUAUCACUGACGAUUUUUAAUAAGUGUAGAUUUUGGCUGAUUCAAAGAAAAAACGAAUUCUCUUUGAAAAAUCAAAUUGCAAAAAUAAUCUCAGAAACUGUCUUCAAGAAGUAAAAUCAAAACAUAACCCAAAUUUGCAAAUGAUGAACUUCAUGAGUUUUUUAAACACGCGGCUUUUUCUUUGCAACUGAUUUUCAAAUACGGUAUACAACAUAGUCCCUUACUUUACUAAGCUACAUACCACCUUUUAAAACACACACUCAACCUCUUUCAAACAAAGAAUGUUUACAAGAUCUUUUGUAGAAAAAGCAUAUCUAGUCCUAAACUUUGUAAGUAUACAUGCAUAUUUCAAAAGAUGAUUUACUACUCAAAAACAUAUAGCUUCUUUUCUUUCCAAAGUAUACACAACCUUCUUAAAAUUGUGAAUUUUAGAUAAAGACUUAGAACAUUUCUCAUAAGAUUUUAAACACAAGAUUAAACAGAAUAUAGUCAUUUCUUUCCCCUAACCUAGCCUAAGCCUAAGGAGCUACCUUAUGUAGAUUUUGGGGGAUGUCUAAUACCUUUCCCUUAGAAUAACUAGAACCCUUGCCCGAAUCUUAUUGAUUAGCAGAAGAACUAUUAGUUUUAUUUUAUUUUGACUAGUGCAAAAUAGGCUGCAACAACAUGGCGACUCCGCUGGGGACUUUUACACUUAGGUUCUGACCUUAGCAGACUUAGGCUAGACUUUAACUUUGAGGAUGUUUUGUUAAAUUCUGUUCUAAUUAUGUUUAACCUGCAAAUACAUGUUUACUCGCUUUACUCUACUUGCUUACACUUUCAACAUGUUGAUACAUGGUUACUUGUUUAUUUAUAUUGCUGCUUUAUAACAAUUAUUUGUUACUGCUUUAUACACUGUCAUCACAUCUUUCCUAUCGAGUCUUGGCCAUACACAAUCACACACAAAUGACACACAAGGGUUGUCUUUUAUACCCCUCCGAAUCUUCUUUCAAAACUCUCUAGUUUCAAAGGUCUCGUAGUAAUUCAGUCCAACUCCAAAAUUAAGAAACACUCUACUCUUAGCAAACAUAGGUCAUGCUGCAUAAACUUUAGCUAGGUCAAUCCUUGGUAUUGACUCACAAUUAGGAAAUCUACCUUAAUAUCAAUGGGCUAUGCACCCAACGAUAUGGUUUUUGUGGAACGACGAACUAAUCCAGAUAAGACACUAAAGAUUCGAAGCAAAUACUUACCAAACUUUUCACCUCUUUAGAUGGAAAUCAACUACAACGUCGCAGAGAUUAACAUGGUCAUGGGUGCACCUCACAAAUUAAAGCACUGGUGGAGGAACAUUCAACGAGAGCAUGAGAAUAAGAUCAAAACACACCUAGGAGCACUAACAGCAUUGAUGAACAUUCGAGCCGACAAAGUACUCACUAGGCUGUUGAUAGAGUUUUGGGAUCCAGUCAAGGUGGUCUUUAAAUUUGUUGAUUGUGAGUUGAUGCUGACGCUGGAGAACAUUACCAGCUUCAUGGAGUUACCCUUCGCAGGGCGGAAACCAAUACUCCCAAUCGUCACGCUAGAUCACAAGUUCCUCUAUGCAUUGGGUCUGAUAAGCAACAAAAAUGUGAGAAAUGUUAAAGAGGGAUGGGUGAGUUUGGACCAUCUAUUUGACAGAUUCGGGCUCCGAGAGAGCUAUGAGUGGCAUCUUGAAAAAUUCCAGUGCGAUCAAGCAUCAUGGGAGAGCCUCCGCCCCUUAACCUUUUCUCUAGCACUAUUGGGACUACUGGUUUUCCCAUAAAGAAAGGGACAAAUCAAUAUCAACAUGCUUCCCCUGGUUUUGGCAACCUUUCGAGGAAAUCUGCAAGUCACCCUCGUUCCUAUGAUACUUCCAGAGAAAUUAGGAGCACUAUCAGCAUGCUACAGAGGAUAUGAUUUCUUCAGAGGCUGUAACUUGUUACUACAUAUAUGGGAUACAAAGCACUUCUUCCAGAGAGAGACCACCGUUGACUAUUUUUGGCGUCAGUAACAUGAUCCGAAGCCAUAAAAAAAGGAUGAGGCACUAGGUUACGCCACAUGGCUAGGAGGAAUGGCGGGAAAUGCUGACCUAUGUUAGUAGAGAAUUCAUAAAUUGAAAACUUUCCUGGUUGAGUGGCAGGGCAAUCUUGAGAAGCCCGGGGAAGUACUUCAUUGAGUUUGUAGGACUGGAAGGGAUUUAGUCAUAUGCACCUCUGAGGGUUCUGAGGCAAAUCGGUCUGAUUCAAGACAUACCUCUCUGGUCAAGAAUGGUUUUAUAUGAGGAUGAUUACGACGGAUAAAUUCUGAUCCCGAGGGUGAGGAGGCUCUAAGAUGCAUGGAAUGACUUGAUCACAAUGGCAAUGAGACAAAAUCCCUGGUGCACGCAUGAGUACUUUGUAUGGAUCAACAAAGAAGACGAGUUGGCCAGUCCCACUAGAGAGGGAUUGACCGGAUUGGAGGAUUUAGUAGCAGCUCAACAGAUAUAUCACAAGGUCCUUCCCCACUAUCUCGUUACCACCGCCAUGCAUCGAUAAGUAGUCCCCGAAUCGUUUGACCACAUGCUUCCACCAUCGGAUGACGACCAACAGGUGAUUGAAUACAUAUAGAUUAAGUCUGAAACAGAGCCAGAGGAGGAUCUUGAGGAGGAACCAGAGUACAACAAUAAUGAGGAUGAGGAGGAGGUUGAAGAGACCCCGAGGAAGAACUGGAAGAAGAAAGCUUGGGAGGAGACUCCAUGGACGAUUAUUAAGUUGCUGAUUAAUUUCCCUUUCUUGUACCUUUUCAUUCCCUAAGGGAGGAUCUAUAAGCCCAUGUAAUCUUUUAUAAACAUUUGAGAAUCAUGUUGUAUCCAUUAACAAUUUUUCCCAUCUUGUAUCAAGUGAUGAAGCCUUAUUGUAACCCACAAAUCUUAUCUAUGAAAAUUAAAGUUUAUUCCGGACCUGAAUGUGUCAAAGUUUAAUUGUUUGUCAAACGCUGGCGACAUAGGCCUACCUCCGACAAAGAGAGGUCCUUAUGUGUAUUAGGAUACUUGUGUGAAUACGUGAACUAACUGCUCUAUGUGAUUAUAUUUGUGUAACCCUGAAGCUGACUUUUACUUUUCUUUAUUUUCGCUUUAUCGCUUAUAUUACCUUCGAAAUAGAGGUUGAUUUAUGUUGAUACAUAAAACUGGCCGAGCCACCGUACAAUUUGAGAUCCAAGGGGAAGAUGACCGCAACAGAUAAACUGGCUGGAAAUGCUCUAGUGGUAGCCGACAACCCAGGGGGAUCGGGAGGAAAGGAUGAUACAUGAAAUGACGAACAUGUUGCCCGAGUGGAAUAGGAAAUGGAGUCACUGCGAGAAGAGGUACAACAAAUCCGGGAGUCGGCACACCUGGUCGUGACGAUGUUUUCGCAACCACCCUGCUUCCCUUCCCUAGAUUCAAUCCCUGACCAUUUCCCUUCAUCAACCCAACAAACAACUAAUAUCCCAACUUCUAUCACCUUAAACCACACAACUCAAGUCAUACCACCAGCAACCCCCUCAAAUCCACCCAACCCUCCUAUAAACACACCCUAUGUUCCAAACUAUGGCCAAGCACCGCAAAAUCCACCAGCCACCACCAAUAUGGUUCACACCCCUCUUCGUGACAACAUCUCUUUUACCAGUAUAUAUCUACGACACAUACUGCCACAUAUGAGCGGUAUGUUCCACCUGUAUAUUCCACCUACAAGACCACCUUUAACAUGCCCGUCACAGUUAGAGUGCCCUAUGAGAUAGACAAAUGUCGAAAUGGAGAAAGAAUCAAAAUGCAAGGAAGAGGAGUCGGUGUCGGAACAACUACGAGUACUGAGGAAACAGAUGAAAAAUCUCCAAGUUGCUCGAGGAAGCGAGAGCUUGGAUUAUGAGGACAUGUGCAUACAUCCAGAUGUUGACAUGCCCAUGGGAUACAAGCCUCCAAAGUUUGAUAUUUUUUAUGGAACAAGCGAACCCCAUGCUCAUUUGAGGGUGUACUGUAACAAGUUGGUCAGAGUAAAGAGAAAUGAAAAGCUAAGAAUGAAACUGUUUAUAAGGAGUCUAACUGGAGAAGUACUUACUUGGUACACCGGACAAGACCCCAGGAAUUGGAGGGCGUGGUAGGACAUGGCUGAAGAUUUUAUGAAUCGCUUCAGAUUUAACACUGAAAUCUCUGGACGGAUUCGCUUUAGUGAAUCUACAAAAGAAGCCCUCUGAAUCAUUUCAAGAAUAUGAUCGUUGGAUGCUAGGACUUAACCUCUGUUGGAUGACAACGAGCUAACUAAGUAUUUUAUCCUUGCUCAAGAAGGGAUCUAUUUUGAAAUGAUAAUGGGUAUGAUAUGUCAGAAAUUCCUCGAGCUGGUCAAAAUGGGAGAUUUCUUGAAGGAAGGUAUCAAGUCAAGAAAGAUACAGUCAAUGGUCGCGCUACAAGAUGCUAGCAAGGCUAUAUAAUUUGGUUCCAAUGGUAGUGGUAAGAAUAAGAAAGAGGAAGUAACAACGAAUGUCCCUUACUAUCAGUCAAGUCCUCAUCGUCUAACCAUCUCCUACCCCACAAACACGCAUCCUCCACAUCAACCAUCUUAUACCCCAGUAUAUAACACCUAACUACAGUGCUCAAUCUCACUACAACCUAGCCUGAGCCAAUGUACAUCCAAACCCACCACGACCAUAUGCUCUAGUUCAAAUAACUACGCACCAAAAUAGACUUGCAUAUGCACCCAGGCCACGUCGAAACUUUAAAGAAAGAAAUCCUAGAAACUUAACUCCAAUUUUUGAGCAUUUAGCCCAAAUGUUCGAAAGGUUGAGGAGAGCCGGACUAAUAUACCCGGUCGAAGGAAAAAUCUCCGACCUUCUGUCAUGACCCAAACUGAUGGGUCGCGACGGGCACCCGGUACCUUACUCGAUCGAGUGCCAACAUAACGUAUCUUUUUGUAUCAUACUAUCAUAGAUAACUGAGCCAGAGAGGCUGCCGUGAGAUAAGUAGAAUACAACAUGAAAUACCAACUUAUACUUAAUACAUACGGGCCUAUAAGGCCAAAAUUAUCACUCUUACACUGAACAUAGGCCGACAAGGCCGUACAUUCUUUCACGUAUACGAUAUAUGUCUAAACGCCUCUAAGGAUACAUAACUGUUAUAAAGGUCGGGACAGAGCCUCGCCAUACCAAUCAACACAUGUCCUAAUCAUACUGACCAAUAGCAGCUCCGGAGCAAAUAGAGCGCACCAACAUCUUUCGCUGAGCUGAUAUCCUACUUGGAGGACUCUCGACCUAUCUAUCGAGACCUGCGAGCAUGAAACGCAGUGUCCCCAGGCAAAAGGAAUGUUAGUACCAAUAAUGUACCGAGUAUGUAAGGAAUAAAAAUCAGUAAAUAAUAGACAUGAGAGAAACAUGGAGUAAGAGACUCGACAUGUACGUCAGCAUUGCUCUGUGAAUCAUUUCAUUUUUAUAAUGUCAUGCAUAUGCGUAUAAAUAUCAUACCAUUCAUAGGUAUAUGCGUUCAUAACAUCAUCAAGCCUCUGAGGGCAUUCCAUCAAAUUAUUUCGACCACUGUGGGCAAAUCAUAAACGUAUACCAACUGAUCAGGUGGUGGUGCGUAUAUGACGCUGUAACCUUUUUUCAUAUCCCAUAUACAUAUAUAUACAUACAUAUACAUACAUAUACGCGUAUGUAGCGCCAUCUGGUCAUGGGUCAAUGUACAUGUAUAAAUGAAUGCAAUGCAUGAGAAGUACGUCAAUAAAAUUUUUCGGAAUGUCAUAAGACCAUUAUGUCUUUGAUUAAUAUCAUAAAAUAAACAUUAUUAACUUAUAUAUUUUCUGAGACCCAUGAACAGAUGAUAGAAUAAUAAGACACAUGGGGAAUCAAGAAUAUAGACUCCCCUAAUAUUUUUAUGAAUAGAGUCAUUUAUGAAAGUUGCGUAUUUUGCCCAUUUCGUUUGUAUCAUUUGGAUCACGCCAAAAAGAAAGAAGGGAUAGCCUUAACAUACCUGAACCGAUUCUCUUGAUAAUCCCUUUAACACCAUUGAUUGCGACAACGCGUAACGGCGGAUCAAAGUAGGAAAACAUCCGUAUGAUAUUCUUGAGAAAGAUUGCACCGUACUCCCUUAUAAUUGCAAAAUCUCACGUUGGUUAAGAUGCUAUGAAAUCUUGUUGAAUUGCCAUGAAAUCAUGUUGAAUUUGUUGAAGAUGCUAAAGUUCUCACGUUACCAAGUUAGAGAAGUCUUAUAAGUGAGUUGAAUUUGAAGAUUCACGUUACUUUGAAUGACUCUUAAGUUUUUCAGAUGUCUUAUGAUGUGGGCCCCACUUUAUGUGGUGGCUUAACCACAUAUCCUUAAUCUUUAGUCUUUCCACCUACUCAAUAAUGGCUUAAGAGUUAUAUAUAUUGGGGUGGCUUGCUGACACGUUGAUGCUUACCCAUUCUUAACCAAUUAACCACCAACACCUUAAUUAAUCACCCACUAAUUCUUAAUUAACUUAUUAAUUUUUUCCAUUAACCAAUUAUCCUCAUAAUUAAGAAUUAUCUCAAAUUACUUAAAAUACUACUCACUUUUAACAUACCUUAUACACCUUACUAUCAUGGUCAUGUAGUACCUUGUAUGGUACUAGUUCAUAAAUAUCGGGUAUUUUAGCUCGGGUCGUAUUUUAUCCAAAAUGUCAAACUUCGACGAAAUUUAUUUUCUUCGAUUUACUUACCCUCUCACCUUCAUGAAUUUACUUGUCACUUGUUUGAAAUAGCAUAAUGCUUAUAAUCUCAAAAUAAUCCCAUUCCCGAACUUACGUCGAUUAACUUACGAUGAAACUUUAACAUACAAAAAUGGGGGAUGCAAUAUCUCAUUUCCGAGCUUUCGUCAAUUUACUUAUGGCGUACUUUUACAUACAAAAAUAUAGGGUAUAACACCAUCCCUCCAAAUAUUUCGAUGCAAGCAAGCGAUGUGCCUAUCAUUCGCGUGUUCCUUGGCUUGACACCGAGGAUUGUUAUAGAUUAAAGAAUAAUAUCGAACUAUUGAUUAAGAGUGGAUCUAUCCAAUGCACUCCAGCACCACCAAAUAUAAAUCAUAACCCAUUGCCAAACCACAAAAAUCAAGGAUCUAACAUGAUCACAUUAGAUGAAGACUAUGACUUGAAAAGGACCAUCGUCACUAUCGGGAAUGACGAAGCUGCAAGAACACCCCCUCAGAUAAAUCCAUUAAUCACUAUGCAACUAAAUCCUCAUAUGAUAGUUCAUACAUACCAACAUCGGUCCACUACCACCGUUAGAGAUGAGGGGAGUCAAGAAUAUAAAAUAGUUUCAUGGACGUAGCAGUCAAAGGGAAAGGGCAAAAUUAUUAGAUCUAAGUUUCAAUGAUGAAAAAUAAUAUAUCUUUAUUCGUAGGUCCAUUCCAUAAGCAAUGGAGAAUGAGAGCAAGCCUUUCAAUGAUUUACCAAAGAAGACAAGAAAGGAAGGAGUAAAAGUAAAGAAAUAAAAGAUAUGCGAAAAUCUGACAACCUAGAUGACGGAGAAUCAGAAAGGAAGGUCUAAGAUUAGAGGAGUUUGAGGCUGCUAAGAUUCCAUCAAUCAAGAUCACUGAAGAUACGUGUCUCAAAGGAAAUCUAUCAAUCUUCAAAAUCAAUGUAUCAAUCUAGGGACUAUUUGCUUAAGGAGAUUCGCUCACAAAUGGAAAGUCCGCCGAUCAAGAUCCAAAACUAGAAAGCUCCAUACUUAUUCUUGGAAUGAAUCAAAACUGAUUCAACUCCAAUGAUCAAUUUCCUUAGGACUGCAAAUCUCUCAAAGAUCUGCCGCAAUCAAAUCAAAACAAAGUUCAAAGUGUAUAUAUUGUAAAACAACAAAGAGGAGAAAACAUACUUUGAUCAAACCAACUUCGUGUUCUUUGUUCUACUCUAAACAAGCAUUGUAAUCUAAGUGUAGUUUACUAUGUAGCUAUUAGAGAGAAGAAAAAGAGAAAAAUAUUGGUGAGGCAUUGUAUAAUGAUUACUACGAGUGUACUUAGAACCAAAAGAGAGUUGGCAUUCGAGAUAACAUAAACACAUUUGUACGAAGUUAUUCAAGGAGCUUUGAAGAGAGAACACCCUUGCAACUCAAGGGGACUGGAGUAGGAUUCACAUUGAAUCCGAACCAAUAUAAAAAUUAUGGGUGUCAAUUAAUUUCUACACUUUACAUUAUGUCUUUAAUUUUAUCUUGCUUAUACUUUCAGUCGACUACUUAUCUAUAAAAAGAAAAAUCGACAAUUCACCCCUCCCCCCUCCUGUACUUUCAAUUGGCACCAGAGCAUGUCUCACAUUGUGUUUUGCUUAACAACUGGUGAGAAAAGAUCAUGUCAAAUCAAGUAAUUGUCAGAGCUUUAUUCCAAGAAGGGACAUCACAAGUAAGGCCUCCAUAUUUCAAUGGACAACAGUUUUCACACUGGAAAGUUCGCAUGGAAAUCUAUACAAAAUCCUAUGAUGUCAAAGUAUGGCAUGUACUAAAAAAUGGUGACUAUCCAAUUCCAGCAGCAAAGUCUAAUAAGAAGGCAAAUGGACAAACAUCUACUGAACCCGUCGAUCUAGAUGAAUACACUGAUGAGCAAAUGGCAGUAGUACAAGUUAAUUCCAAGGCACGAAAUCAUCUAUACAGCGCAAUAAGUGGAGAGGAAUACGAGAAGAUAUCAAACUGUGAUAUUGCUAAAGAGAUGUAGGACAAAUUGGAAGUAAUUUAUGAAGGAAUGAACAAAGUUAAGGAGACUAGGAUAACUAUGUUGAUCCAUGACUAUGAACUAUUUCAAAUGAAAGAAGGUGAAUCCAUUGAGAAAAUAUUUCUCAGUUUUAGCAAAAUUAUUGGAGAUCUAAAGGCUUUUGGAAGACCAUACUCAAGCGGUGAGAAAGUUCAAAGAUUUUAAGAAGUCUACCUACUACUUGGAAAGCAAUAGUAGUAGCCUUGAAUCUCAUGAUUUGGACAAACUAUCAUAUGAUGAACUACGAGGAAUCUUAUUGCCUUUGAGAAAAAAACAUCUCACAAAAUGAGGACGGGAAGAAAAGAAGAAAAUUGUUGCUUUCAAAACCGCGAUAGAAGGAUCUGAAAAUGAAAAUGAAAAUGAAGAUGAAGAACUUGAAUAAGAGAUAGUAUGGUUUCCAAGACUGUAAAUGGGUUGAUGAGAAGAUACAAGAACACAAAAAGGGGAGAAUUUCUUCUAGAAGAAUAAGACAGUACAACGAACAAUAAAAGAGUGAUGGAAAAUACUAUGAAUAUGGAUACUAUGGUCAUAUACAACCCGAAUCCCCAAAUCUCAAGAGAAAAGCCUCGAGAGGAUUUAAUAAAAAUAAAUCAUUUGGAAGCUGGAGUGAUGAAGAUAGCUUAGAGCAUGAGAAAAUUGCAAAUCUAUGUUCCAUGACUAUAUUAGAGAAUGAUAUGAAUAAGUUCUCAGGAUUCUGGACAGAUGGAGAUGUAUCAUAUAACGACAGCAAGGAGACGACUGAAAACUACUUCAUGGCACGUGGUGAAACUAGUAAGGUAAGACCAUAUGAAUGUGAUAGAUGCAAUGAAUUACAAUAUACUCUUGAUCUCACCCUAAAAGAGUCUCAGAAGAUUUGAAACGAAUUAAGGAGACUGAAUAGAAAAAAGAAGGACUGGGAACUUAAACUUCAAGUAUGUGAAAUUGAAAGAGACGUACUUCAGUUCAGGAAUUACAAUUGCAACUCAAUGACUUGCGCAAAUCCACCAGUCAUAACUCUGUUAGGUCAAACCAAGCGACUUACAAGUCAUCUUGAAAAAGACCUGUUAAAACUAGAUUUACCAGUAUUGACACUAGCGUUAGAUCAAAAAUUGAAUCCACCCAUGUAUGUCAUUAUUGUAAAAGGACUGGUCAUAAGUACUCCUUUUGUAGAUUUCGUAAAUCAAAUAUUCCAGGAUGGAUUUGGAAGCCCAAAAACUGCCCUGAUAUUACUAUAACUAACCAACAAGGACACAAGCAAGCUUGGGUAGCUAAAAAAUAUAAUAAUUCUAUUUUGCAGGAAUACCACUGGAACAGUCAAAAAGGGAAAUGGUAUUUAGACAGUGCGUGUUCCAGUCACAUGACGGGAGACAAGAACUUAUUCAAAGAAGUCACAAAAAUAAAUGGAGAAAAUAUCAAAUUUGGUGAUUAUUCAAAAGAUAAAAUCGUUGGCACCAGUACUGUUCCAUUCAAUAACAACUGUGAUAUUGCUGAAGUGUAUCUAGUGGAUGGACUCAACUAUAAUCUUUUGAGAAUAAUCCAACUGUGUGAUUCUGGAUAUGAGGUCAAAUUCAAGAAAAGAAGUUGUGCAAUUGAAUAUGAGACAGGUAAAAUUAUUCUGCCAGAAAAAAGUAUGGAAAUGUUUAAAUUUUCGACUGCAUUGAAAAUUUAGACUGUCACUUUGUAUGGAAUAUAUAUUUGAGGAUCCUUGGAUUUGGCAUAAGAAACUUGUCCAUGCAAGCAUGUGCCUGGUUGAAAAACUCUUUAUGCAUGACCUAGUCAUUAGACUUCCUAAGCUAAACUUCUCUAGGAAUUAUGUAUGUGAUGCUUGUCAACUUAGAAAGAAAACUAGAAACUCAUUCAAAUCCAAGUAUAUUGUGUCCACGACCAAGCCCCUACAGGUGCUAUACAUGAGCUUAAUUGGGCCUACUAGAACUGCUAGCAUUGGAGGAAAAUGAUAUGCAUUCGUUAUUGUUGAUGACGACUAUCAUUUGUCACGAUCCAACUGGAGGGUCAUGACUAGCGCCCGGGCCAUACUUGCCGAGUACCAACGUACAUUUUAUCUAACCUUCCUUAUUAUCUUUAAGGGCCGACAAGAUCAAUAUAAAUGGUAGACAUGGAUCAUGAUCAUCCAAUAAUGAAAGAUAAUGGCAUGAACAUACAUAACAUGGUACAACAAGACUGUCAAGAAACUAUAUAUAAGGUACAAGCUACCAUGCUUCCAUGAAAGACUAUACAACAAAAAUCAACCGACAAGGCAUUCCAAACCAUACACGAGUCGACACCUGUCUAUGAGCCUUUAAAGGAACAUAAGUGCUGCAACAUUGCUGGAACAGGGCCCCGACAUACCCAUAAUAUCUAUAACAAAAAUGCAUACCAAGACCACGGCAAGUCUGAAGAAGGGAUCUCGCCAAUAACCGCUGAACUGGACAACCUACUGUGGUGGGGAACCUGCGUCUACCUGUCUAUCAGGACCUGCAGCACGACAUGCAGCGUCCAUAAAUAAAAAGGACGUCAGUACGAAUAAAGUACUGAGUAUGUAAGGCAGGAAAGCAUAAGUAAGAACAGUAAUGUAAAUAGGGAUAGAGAAUAUACAACCUGUGACAUCUGGGUACCUCUGAGGGCUAUUGACAUGAAAUACAUGAUACAUAUAUAUACAUAAACUUUUAAAACAUACGCCUCUAUGGGCAUCACCAUCAUCAUAUCGUACCCGGUUGUAAUAGGCUCGGUAAAACGUACCCGGCCAUCAUAGGGCUCGGUAGAAUCAUACCCGACCACGUGGAGCUCGGUAAAACCCUACUGAUCAGUGGUUGCAUAAUAGGUGUCAUACCCGGCCGACUAUAGCGCAGCUCAGUAGAUUAAAAUAGAUACAUAUAUAUGAUGCAUGCUAGUCUCAUUGAAAUCACAUUUUGAACCUUUCGGAGUGACGUAAGGUCGGUAUCCUUCGUACACGUUAUUAGGAUUAACUAUUCAUCAAGAAUCUUAUAAGAAUCAGGAAGUACCAACAACAUUGAUAACAUAAGAAUAAGAGAAGUAACAUCAACAUCAAUCGUUCCAUAAGAAGGGCAGCAAUGUAAGUACUGCUAGCUUCGAAGAGUAGAGUAUCUUUGGAAGCUCGUUCAUUACAUUAUGUACAAUCAGAGUCGUGCAAAAGAAUAAAGGGGAUAGCCGCACAUACCUUGUAUAUACUGCCCAACCUCAAGCUAUGCAAAUGUCACGACUNNNNNNNNNNNNNNNNNNNNNNNNNCAUCCCAAACAACAUCAACAAUAAUCAUAUUGAGCCUCCCAAAACAGUCCACCAACCAACAACAUUACUACCAAGCCUUUCGAUAUAUAUUUGACAAGUUCUAGCUUCAACGACUAAGCCGCAACUUGGAUAAUCUUAAAUACAUGUAGAGUAUGAGGUUCCUUACCUUUAAAUGGAAAUAAAAACUCCAAUUUUACCUUAAUUUUCCACGAAAUAUCCCUCCAAUUCUGCCACAAGAACAAGGAAACGAAACUAGCAAUCAAUUCGGGUGUUUCGGCACUAGAAUUACUUUAGAAGGCUUGAAAUCACCUAGGGUUGAUAUUAAAAACUUGAGGUAGUAUUUACAGAACAUAUAACACUUAAAAAACCUCCCACACAAACUAGAACAACACAAAAAUCAGCAACAACAAGAAGAACAAGAAACUUACUAGCGCUACGGGAUUCCCGACACUUGAUUUGUGUUAUUUGCCCUUUGUUUGGGUCUUGGAUCAUGAGAGAACCUUGAGAGAAUGUUUUUAGGGUUCUAAGGUCUGAAUAUACUAUAAAAGAAUGACUUCAAACGGGUUUGAGGCAUCUUAUAUAUAUCCAUAUGUCUUAAAUCGGCUAUGUGGGCCCCAUAGAGUGCUGCUUGGCGCAGUCUAGCGAAAACGCGAAUAUCUCUCUAUUCCAAGAUUGUAUCGAUGAAGGUUUAAUGUGUUGGAAACUAGACUCAUAGAUCUUCCAUUUGGUGGGUAGAUCACCCCAUAAUUCCAAGUACAUUGGGAUAAAAACGUAGUAACAUUUGACCAAAAGUUUAAGUAAAAUUNNNNNNNNNNNNNNNNNNNNNNNNNNNNNNNNNNNNNNNACUUCUUAUCAUCUAAAAGAUAAUCUCUUCUUGGAUUUACGUCGACUAACUUACGGUGUGAUCUAAGGUACGUGAAUUUGGGUUGUAACAUCAUUUCACAUGGAUAAUAUUCCUAUCUCACAAACAUGAAGCUUUGAAAAACAUUGAGAUCUUUUGGAAAAGAGUUGAAAGAGAAAAUGGACAUCUCAUUUCAACCAUACAAAGUGACCAUGGAGGCGAAUUUGAAAGAAGAUCAUUUGAAGAAUUCUGCAAUGAUAUACUAACAAUUUCUCAGCCCCAACAUCACCUCAACAAAAUGGAGUGGUGGAACACAAGAAUAGAAUCUUGCAAGAUAUGGCCAGAAUAAUGAUAUUAGAGCACUCACUACCAAACCACUUUUGGGCAGAAAUAGUAAGCACAACAUGUUAUAUCCUCAACAGAUGUCUCAUACGGCCAAUUCUAAAAAGACUCCAUACGAGCUGUGAAAAGGUAAAAGGCCUAACAUAGGCUACUUUCACCCUUUCGGAAGUAAACGCUUCAUUCAUAAAAAUGAUAAGGACAACCUUGGUAAUUUCAACCUAAGGAGUGAUGAAGGUACAUUUCUUGGUUAUUCAAUUAAUAGUAGAUCAUUUAGAGUUUACAACAAAUGUGCAUUAUGUGUAAAAGAGUCAGUCUAUGAUAUCUUUGAUGAUAAUAACUCUAUAGCAGAGAAAGGAAUCAUUGCUUGUGAUGAAGAUACAAAUUAGGAUGUAUCGAAGACAACUGGGCCUCAGGAAUAACAGAAACCCACAGAUAGCAGCAGCGAGCCUAUAGAGUUAACUAAUGAAUCUAUCAAUAACCAUAUUGAACCUCAGAAGGAGUCAACUACUCAGCCUGCUGAAAUAAGACCAAAUGAAUGGAGAAGUGAGCUUGAAUAUCCAUAGAAGUUCAUUAUAGGAAAUCCAAAUGAUGGAGUAAAAACUAGGUUAACCCUCAAGAAAAAAGCCAACAUCACACUUAUCUCUCAAAUUGAACCAAAGAAGGUUGAUGAAUCCUUAAAGGACUUCAUCUGGGUACAAGCCAUGCAAAAUGAACUUAAUCAAUUUGACAAAAUUUAAGUAUGGAAGUUAGUGCCUAAGCCAGAAAAUGAUACAAUUGUUGGAACCAAAUAAGGAUUUAGAAAUAAGUUGAAUGAGGAUGGAAAGGUAAUUAGGAACAACGCCAGAUUGGUGGCUCAAGGCUACUUACAAUAGGAAGGAGUCGACUAUGGUAAAACCUUCGCUACGGUAGCCCGAUUAGAAUCAAUUCGUAUAUUGCUUGGAUAUGCAUCUUUUAAAGGCUUUAAAUUUUUUCAAAUGGAUGUUAAGAGUGCUUUCUUAAAUGGUUUUAUUGAUGAUGAGGUAUAUGUAAAAUAACCUCCUGGAUUUGAGAACUCACAAUAUCCUUACCAUGUGUAUAAGUUGACUAAGGCCCUCUAUGGACUCAAGCAAGCCCCUCGAGUUUGGUAUGAAAGGCUAAGCUCAUUCCUAACCGAUCAUGGAUUCACGAGAAGUAAAGUAGAUACUACAUUAUUUAACAAACGAUCCUAUGAAGGUAAUCUCAUUAUUCAAAUUUAGGUCGAUGAUAUUAUUUUUGGUAGUGCCAACUCUCUUUUGUGUAAGGAAUUCUCAAAUCUCAUGCAGAGUGAGUACAAAAUGAGUAUAAUGGGAGAACUCACAUUUUUUCUUGGACUCCAAAUUUUGUAAUCAGAGAAAGGCACAUUUAUCUAUCAGACCAAGUACGCUAAGGAGUUGAUUCAAAAAAUCGGCAUGAGUAAUACUAAAGCAAUUGGAACACCCAUGAGCCCUUCAAUAAAUCUUGACAAAGAGGAGAAAGGAAAUCCAGUGGAUGAAACUAAGUACUGUGGGAUGAUUGGGUCUUUGCUUUACUUAACUGCUAGUCAACCAGAUAUCAUGUUCAAUGAGUGUAAAUGUGCCAGGUUUUAGUUAGCUCCUAAGGAAUCAAACUUGACUGCAGUAAAGCGAAUAAUUUUCUAUCUUAUCGGAACUAACUCUCAUGGACUAUGGUAUCCACGUUUUAACAAUUAUAAACUUGAAGGUUUUUCAGAUGUUGAUCCUGCAGGGGAUAAAGAAGACAUAAAAAGCACCAGUGGGACAUGUCAAUUACUGGAAAACGUAUAAAUUUCAUAUAACAACAAGAAACAAGGAUCAACAGCUUUGUCCACAACAGAAGCAGAAUAUAUUGCUACUGGAAAAUGUUGUGCUCAAUUACGUUUGAUAUCUCAUCAAUUGGGUGACUGACUAUGAACUGUAAUUUAAACCUAUUCAAAUAUUUUGUGACAACUCUAGUGCUAUAUGUCUCUCCAAGAACCAUAUGCAUCAUUCUAGGGAUAAUCAUAUAGAUAUUAAGAAUCAUUUUAUUAGAGAUCAUAUUCUUAAAGGAGAUAUAUAAUUGUUGUUUGUCAGCACAAUUGAUCAAUUAGCAAAUAUUUUCACGAAACCCUUGCUUGAAGAUAAAUUUUGUGUUUUAAGGGAAUCACUUGGCAUUAUUUCACUUAGUACCAAAAAUUAGGACCUUAGUGUUACUAAAUAUUUCUUUCUAUCAUUUUUUAUUAUUUACUUAUGUGUGUAAGAAGUCAUUAAUUAUGCGCCUCCGUUUUUCCUCCUUUCACAUCCAUCAAAACUCUCUAGAAAGGAAAAUCAAUCAUCAUGUUCUUUCACUGACGCCUUUUUGUUUUUUGUACUCAACCGUCUAACUCAUUCUUUUUAACUUUCUCAAUCACUCUCACUUUCUCUCAUUGUUACAAUUGCUCAGAAACCCUUUCUCUAAACUCAUCAGUGGCAAAAAAUUCCAUAAACCCCUCUGCCUCCACUCGAAAGAGUACUAAUUCCAAGGCAAAACUCUCUUCAAAACCCCCAAAACUAGUUGAUUUAGGAUCAGAUCACUCCAAAGACCUUUCCUCUUCUCAGGCAGAGCUCUCCAAUGAUGCGCGUAGCCUGAAUGAGAAAGCUCUAGGGAAAUGACCCAUGGAAGAAAGUCCUGAGUCUUUCACUCCAAAGAAGCCCAAAGCAGACCUAUCAAGUUUUUUAGAGUCUGACAUCAAUUUCUGGGACACCCCAAACAGAGACACCUUCAUUACAUUCAAGGAAAAGACAAUAGCCUGUUUGCAGGGUGAUCGAUUUGAACGACAUGGAACCUCCCAUCUGCAAGGUAAGGGAACUUUUCUAUUUCCAAGGUUGGUCAAACUUUCUUUUGUUGCCUCCCCCAAAAGUCUAUGAAGCCCUAGUUAGGAUGUUUUAUGCAAAUCUUCAUUCCCCUAAGCCUGAUAAGUUAUAAUCUCUAGUUCUGGGAAAGCGCAUUGUUCAAGAUUGUGUCUUGUUUGAUUCAAUUUUUCAGUGUAAGUGUUCUGGAUACUCUAUGGUGUUCAAAAAUACCUGGCCUGAAGACUUUGAAAUUUUCUUCGAUCAAGCAAAGUGUUGCAUAUCUGAGUCUCCCUUUGAUUCUCUUCCCAGUCAGUUAGGUCCCACUGAUGUUAGCUUUGAAACCCGGGUCCUCGCACACAUUGUGGCAACAACCCUUCUUCGUCGCAUUGGUUCAUUAUCUACCUUUUCCCAACAGGAUAUCUUUCUUGUUUAUUACCUAGUGACCAAGCAUAAAGUUAAGUUAUCCACCUGAGUUAUAAACUUCAUGAUUGAAAGUGCUGAUGAUCCCACAAACCUUCCCUAUGGUAUGGUUAUCACUCAUCUCCUCAAAGCCCACAACAUCUCUCUUUCUAACUACCCUUUUGUCUCAGUCACCAGAUCCUACACCUUCAGAGACUCUGCUAGUAUGGGAUAUGUUGGUGUGAAAGUUACUUGGGUGAAGAAGCAAGAAGGAGAGGCUAAGGAUGUUCAAACUGAAUCAAAGGCCAAAGUAUCUGGUUUCCAUCCUAGUGUUUGUGAUCCUAAUCUUGUGAAAAAGUUAACUGCUAUUGACAACAAGCUGACCAUCAUCAAGGAUCUUCUAGUCUCUACUCAAUCAACCAUUGGAGAUAUUCAUGACAUCUCAAAGGAACAUGCUAUGAUGUAUCAAAGAUAAGGGUCAAGAUUCUCAAGUUUGCAGUGAACACAGUGAAAGCCUUCAAGGAAGUGCAUGAUAGGAUCGAUAGGGUAUCAGUUAUAGUGAAUACUACCAUUGAUCAUCUAAAGGAGGCUAUCUGCAAUACUCUUACUUAUUUUUUGUGUCGCUAAUUUGCGAAUGGGUGGAUGUUUAAGAUAAUUUUUUGUUUUUUUGGGACUGAUCUUCUAGUCUUUGGCUGUUUUGUUAAGACAAUCAUUGUAGUAGCAUGACUAUCACUGCACUAUUGCUUGUUUUAAUAUAUUUUUGUCAGUAUUGUGCUUUUUGUUGAUGGCAACGGGGGAGAAAUAAGUAAAGUGAAUAGGUACCAGGUACAAUUUUUUAUGGCUGCCCUGUUGAGGGCGAGUCGACUAUCACACGGCCAAGUGAAGAUAUCUAGUUGAGGGGGAGUCGACUACAACAAGAAAAAAGUCACUAAAAAGGGAAGUAAAUUACUUUUAUUUGUUAUUUUGUCA